This 253-nucleotide ribosomal RNA is filed under the name uncultured bacterium. Its description in RNAcentral is "partial 16S ribosomal RNA". It matches the Rfam family "Bacterial small subunit ribosomal RNA", at positions 524 to 776 of the family's 1533-position model. The record is from RNAcentral.
UACGUAGGGUGCAGGCGUUAAUCGGAAUUACUGGGCGUAAAGCGUGCGCAGGCGGUUUCUUAAGUCAGAUGUGAAAUCCCCGGGCUUAACCUGGGAAUGGCAUUUGGGACUGCAAGGCUGGAGUGUGGCAGAGGAGACUGGAAUUCCUGGUGUAGCAGUGAAAUGCGUAGAUAUCAGGAGGAAUACCGAUGGCGAAGGCAGGUCUCUGGGCUGACACUGACGCUCAUGCACGAAAGCGUGGGGAGCAAACAGG